Molecule: ribosomal RNA, 433 nt
Filed under: uncultured bacterium
Lineage: Bacteria
Description: partial 16S ribosomal RNA
Rfam family: Bacterial small subunit ribosomal RNA
Source: RNAcentral
AACGAACGCUGGCGGCAGGCCUAACACAUGCAAGUCGAGCGGACCCUUCGGGGUUAGCGGCGGACGGGUGUGUAACGCGUGGGAAUAUGCCCUUCUCUACGGAAUAGUUCUGGGAAACGGGGGGUAAUACCGUAUACGCCCUUUGGGGGAAAGAUUUAUCGGGGUAGGAGUAGCCCGCGUUGGAUUCGGUAGUUGGGAGGGUAAUGGCCUACCAAGCCGACGAUCCAUAGCUGGUUAGAGAGGAUGAUCAGCCACACUGGGACUGAGACACGGCCCAGACUCCUACGGGAGGCAGCAGUGGGGAAUCUUAGACAAUGGGGGCAACCCUGAUCGAGCCAUGCCGCGUGAGUGAUGAAGGCCGUAGGGUUGUAAAGCUCUUUCAGCUGGGAAGAUAAUGACGGUACCAGCAGAAGAAGCCCCGGCUAACUCCGUG